Molecule: ribosomal RNA, 668 nt
Filed under: Lingulaulax polyedra
Lineage: Eukaryota; Dinophyceae; Gonyaulacales; Lingulodiniaceae
Description: Lingulodinium polyedra partial 23S ribosomal RNA
Rfam family: Bacterial large subunit ribosomal RNA (bases 354-515)
Source: RNAcentral
GGAUGGAUGUUUAUGCCAGGGCUCGGAUGGAUUUUUGUCAUUGAGGCCAAUUUAUUUUUGGCAUUGGACAGGCAUCUGGAUUGGAUUUAUUGUCAUUUGAUGGCCAAUUUUAUGUUUUCUGCAUUUGGUACAGGCAUCUGUAAUUUGAUUUGNUGGUUUUGGAUCUGUUUAAUUGGGCGACGACCUUUAUUUACUGGAACCAAUGGUGUACAAAGUUCAGAAUAUGAAACUUUGUUAAAGGACUUGUAAGUGCAAAGAUACAAUUCAAGGUUUAAUGGCAGCUGUUUUGUUCAUUAUGUAAGCAGUGUUUUAGUGACCUUAUAAUUAAUUUAACAGAUAAAAGCUACUCAAAGGAUAACAGGCUUAAUAUGUUAGAUAGCUCACAUUAAAUAAAUGGUUUGGCACCUCGAUGUCGGCUUAUCUUAUCCAAAAUCUGUAGGCUUUGGUUUAUUGGUAGGAGUGCUCAUCCUAUAAUAAGGUACGUGAGCUGGGUUCAGAACGAUGUAAAUCAGUUUGGUCUAUAUCUUUAACAAUUAUAAAAAUGGGUAUGGAGUAGUUUGUUCAGUACGAAAGGACCAACAGACAAUAGCAGAAGAUGAAUUUUGUGUUGUAGUGGUAUUACUGUUCUAGGUCUAAGUAUUAGAUAAGUGAUUAUCGCAUUCCUAACG